This 512-nucleotide ribosomal RNA is filed under the name uncultured bacterium. RNAcentral's name for it is "partial 16S ribosomal RNA". It matches the Rfam family "Bacterial small subunit ribosomal RNA", at positions 28 to 523 of the family's 1533-position model. The record is from RNAcentral.
GACGAACGCAGGCGGCGUGCCUAAUACAUGCAAGUCGAGCGGAUUGAUGGGAGCUUGCUCCCUGAUAUCAGCGGCGGACGGGUGAGUAACACGUGGGCAACCUGCCUAUAAGACUGGGAUAACUUCGGGAAACCGGAGCUAAUACCGGAUAAUCCCUUUCCUCUCAUGAGGAAAGGCUGAAAGAUGGUUUACGCUAUCACUUAUAGAUGGGCCCGCGGCGCAUUAGCUAGUUGGGGAGGUAACGGCUUACCAAGGCAACGAUGCGUAGCCGACCUGCGAGGUUGAUCGACCACACUGGGACUGAGACACGGCCGAGCCUCCGGCGGGAGGCAGCAGUAGGGAAUCAUCCGCGAUGGACGAAAGUCUGACGGAGCAACGCCGCGUGAGUGAUGAAGGUUUUCGGAUCGUAAAACUCUGUUGUUAGGGAAGAACAAGUACGAGAGUAACUGCUCGUACCUUGACGGUACCUAACCAGAAAGCCACGGCUAACUACGUGCCAGCCGCCGCCGUAA